Long non-coding RNA from Vicia villosa (hairy vetch), 353 nucleotides. RefSeq lists it as uncharacterized. NCBI's taxonomy places the organism in Eukaryota, Viridiplantae, Streptophyta, Magnoliopsida, Fabales, Fabaceae. The record is from RefSeq and is a predicted model, not a curated record. The transcript has 3 exons.
UAUGUUGGGAGUAUUUCAUUCUCUUCCUUUUUUGCUUAAAUUAUUAGUUUGCCUACAUUUGAUGCUACCAUAUAUAUCAGCUGUUGAAAAGAUGUUAUGGUUUUCUUAAUUUGGGCCGAAAUACAUCAGUUUUUCUGCAACUAUUACUGGUGGUGAUGCAUCUCAUGAUAGGAGCUGUGUGAUUUAAAGGUUUGACUGGUUACUGAUACUGAGUCAAAUAAGCCCAAGGGUUAUUUAUGCAUUCAUUGAAUACCUGCACACAAGAGACACUAAAGCUGCUUUAUAAGCAAGCUGAUGGUAGGAAAAUUGAGAGUAGAAGGGUUGUGGCUGUUGAAUGUGGGAGGACUGUUACA